This 445-nucleotide long non-coding RNA is filed under the name Brassica rapa (field mustard). RNAcentral's name for it is "long non-coding RNA (BRAP_LNC004824)". The record is from RNAcentral. Lineage: Eukaryota; Viridiplantae; Streptophyta; Magnoliopsida; Brassicales; Brassicaceae.
UCAACCCCCUGUUUUUUACUUUCUUUUUGCCAGAGUGUUGUUUUUUGUAUAGAUUAACUACUUUGUAGAACAAUCUCCAUUUUUAAUGAUAAUUUACAUUCUUAGCAAAAAAAAAAAAAAAAAAAAAAUGAGAGCAACAUGAAAAACAAGACGUGCUGUUCUAAAGGAACUUUUUUAUACAAUGCCAUAGAAAGAUAGUUACACAAACUUAGCCAAGUUUGAUAACAAGUCAAAGGAAACUUCAAAGGUACCACGUACGAGUAAUCUCACAGAGAGAUUAUACGGUUCUUCGAAUUCUUCAAAUAUGGGAAUAGUCACUGACUCACCAUAUAUAAGUGACGUACGUUAAGCACUUUAAAACCUCGAUUCUCAUUGAAAUGAGUUUCGUUGUAUUUUCAGGUCCCAAACGAACCAUUAUGCAAGACUAUAUGUAUACACAUGUUUU